CCCUUAGAUGUUCUGGGCCGCACGCGUGCUACACUGAGUGGAUCAGCGGGUCAGGUUGCGCGAAAGCGUUUCCUAAUCUUUAAAUCCGCUCGUGAUGGGGAUUGACGGUUGCAAUUUUCUGUCAUGAACGAGGAAUACCUUGUACGCGCGGGUCAUCAUCCCGCGCUGAAUACGUCCCUGCCCUUUGUACACACCGCCCGUCGCUCCUACCGAUUGAGUGGUCCGGUGAGGCUUUGGGAUCUGAGCGGAAAGAGCGUUUCGCUGUUUCUGCUCGGAAAACUCAGUCGAACCUUAUCAUUUAGAGGAAGGAGAAGUCGUAACA
RNAcentral lists this ribosomal RNA (322 nucleotides) under uncultured eukaryote. RNAcentral's name for it is "partial 18S ribosomal RNA". It matches the Rfam family "Eukaryotic small subunit ribosomal RNA", at positions 1470 to 1796 of the family's 1831-position model. The record is from RNAcentral.